CAAUAGCGUAUAUUAAAGUUGUUGCAGUUAAAAAGCUCGUAGUUGGAUUUGUGGUGUACUUCGGCGGCCCGUCACUAUGUGAUGGAGCUUGCUGAAGUCGCCAUCCUUGGGUGGAUCCUGUGUGGCAUUAAGUUGUCGUGCAGGGGAUGCCCAUCGUUUACUGUGAAAAAAUUAGAGUGUUCAAAGCAGGCUUAUGCCGUUGAAUAUAUUAGCAUGGAAUAAUAAGAUAGGACCUUGGUACUAUUUUGUUGGUUUGCGCACCAAGGUAAUGAUUAAUAGGGACAGUUGGGGGUAUUCGUAUUUCAUUGUCAGAGGUGAAAUUCUUGGAUUUUUGAAAGACGAACUACUGCGAAAGCAUUUACCGAGGAUGUUUUCAUUAA
Molecule: ribosomal RNA, 380 nt
Filed under: uncultured eukaryote
Lineage: Eukaryota
Description: partial 18S ribosomal RNA
Rfam family: Eukaryotic small subunit ribosomal RNA
Source: RNAcentral